This is a long non-coding RNA of Fundulus heteroclitus (mummichog), 650 nucleotides long. RefSeq lists it as uncharacterized. NCBI's taxonomy places the organism in Eukaryota, Metazoa, Chordata, Actinopteri, Cyprinodontiformes, Fundulidae. The transcript has 3 exons. The record is from RefSeq and is a predicted model, not a curated record.
AUUUCGCGGAGACCAGCUGUUCAACAGACUUCAUCUUCGCAGCAGAGGAAGGUCAGACCAAAAGUUGGGGAGUAACAAGAGGAGGGUGGAAACCCAGAUGAUGAUGAUCUUCUGGAAUGUCUGGCUGAUAGAGGCGGAUGGCUGCUGCUCUUCGCCAAAAUAAAAUACCAAAUGCUGCGCUCUGUGUUGGGAAUUCUCAAAUGACUGGCUCAGGACCCAGGAAGUAAGUACAAGCUACAGUCUGAACCAAAGUAGUUCUGGAUCGUACCUCUAGGUUUGAAAAGAGAAAAAAAUUACUAAGACGUUGAUGGAGAGGACCGAUCGUUUAUAGGGAAUGUUACUUCCAUCCCGGAUGACAAAUGAGAAUGAUUUAUUUAUUUAACUGUAAAUGUCUUACUAAUAGUUAUAUAUGUUGCGUUCUGCAUUAGACAGUGUAUCUCCCUUGAAAAAGAAGGUGAUUAUUCACAGAAAGCUGGCUCCCUGGUUUAAUUUAGAGCUGCGUUCUUUUUGGAAAAAAAAUGUUAGGAAAUUGAAGAGAAAAUAGAGCUCUACACACCAUGAGGAAUCCUACCUGAUCUAGAAAAACAGUCCACUGUUGUAUAAAAAGACCCUUCACUGAGUUAGAGCAGCAUAUUUUUAAUCAUUAAUUG